Molecule: long non-coding RNA, 1695 nt
Organism: Acanthaster planci (crown-of-thorns starfish)
Lineage: Eukaryota; Metazoa; Echinodermata; Asteroidea; Valvatida; Acanthasteridae
Source: RefSeq, a predicted model, not a curated record
CUCUUCAAUACGGCUCCAGCGUUCCAAUUCAGAAAUGAUCAACUCGGCUGCCUCUGACAGUUUCCACGCUUACCUCCUUUUCCCGUCUGCUUUCUCUCUCCUCUACACCUUUGCUGUCCCUCCCUCCCUGUCUGCUCUCGCUGAACCUUCCGCUUAACUUCCUGUCAUUCCUGUAACCCCUCGACUCCCCCCUCCCGUCCCCUCGUAGGUGAUACACCGUCGCUUCUACUCUAACCCCGCCAAAGACUCUCCCCAGAAGGUUUGUGAUCGAACGGCGGUUCUUCUCCAGGGAUUCUAGCCAGCAGCCUGUGGGCAGUCCCGCGGAGAAACGACGAUCGUACACCCCGCAGUACAUGAAGAGCCUGCACGCCGACUGAACACAGGCAACACCCCCCUCCCCCAGCCCAGUGACGGGAUCGGGAAGGAUUCUUCGGAUAAAUGAUGGCGCUGCUGCCUUGAUGUCAUUUCAAGGAGAUUUACGAUAUUUCGGACGAAGGCCGAAAAAAAGGGAGAAAGAUGUACAAAAAAACAUGGCACUGCAUGUGGUUUCAAUUCUAAUUUGGAAUGUUAAGGAGGCGUUCCAUAUUACAGUGUAAAUUUACACCGACAGAAGGUUGUCCAAGAGCGUCAUCAUCUAACCGGCAAAACGACGGGCUCCCAAACGCCAAAGCGGGAAAUCUUCGUGGCCUACGAAGCUCUGAGCUGGCUUGGCAUUUUGAAACUAAUUUAUUACUCGCUGAUGUUCUUAGCAGCGAUGUCAGUAGUCUGGGCAGUGAUAAGGUUGAACAAGUACCGAUAACUAGCAGUGGGUUCUCCGCGUGAAGGGAUUAGGAGAUCUAAUGCAACCGCACGAGGUUCGGGCGCUGGCACAGCUGUCAAAAUUAAGCAAUGACCGUGACAAUGCCUCCCCCCCCCUCCGUAGCAAUGUGAUAAUUAAAGCCAAAUAAACUGAAGCUCCGGUGAAGGUUCAACUCAAACAUAUUAAACAACACGGUGCGCAGGAAAUGUCUUUUUAAAGGCACCGGCAAGUGAGGGCGGUAUUUAACAAAUCUAAGCCACAUCCUAGUCAAGUUCAAGUACAAACUUGUAUGAGAAAAAAGAACCGAGCCCACAAGAACUUUCUCUUGUGAUGCUGCCGUCGACGUUUUUGCCACAUAAGUGGAUCACAAACUAUGACGGCCGUCGUCACAAAUGAUUUCGUUUUAAAGUGUUUAAAAACUCUCAGCGAGCGAAACAAACUGAGCGAAACAAACUGAGCCAACUGUGAUCCAACCUCUGAAUGCUAAAAUAAAUCAAAAUAUACUCCGCCCCCCGCACACACUGAUGAUAAGGAGUAUACAUGAAGAUGUUCAUUUGAACCAAAAGAAAAGCUAUUGUCUACCCAAGAUAAACUUUACACGCGAAAUCAAAAAGAGGCCAGUGUUUGUGAACGAAAAAAAAAAUUUACGCAUGGAUCAUUGAGUUAGGACUAGAGACGAUACAAAUCGAUCACGUCAUGGUGGUGGUGUGACCAGAUUCAAAGAUCAUGCUGUUUACGUAAAAUUUCUGUCAACCCCGCUGUCCCGGUAUAGUAUAGUAGGCCUAGGCCGUUUUCCAAUUCUCAAUUCGUCUCCGUCUGAGGAUGCGUCCCCGAAACCAAUCCCCGAUUGUGGGCCUGAAGCGUUUAAAUCAAAUUGGAUUACUGUAAGUUCUUGC